UCACAGUUUGCACUGGCAGUCUUGUUAGAGUUCCCGACUUGACUCGCUGGCAACUAACAACAGGGGUUGCGCUCGUUAUAGGACUUAACCUGACACCUCACGGCACGAGCUGACGACAACCAUGCAGCACCUGUGCACUGGCCCCGAAGGGCUGCCGUAUUUCUACGGACAUUCCAGUGCAUGUCAAGCCUAGGUAAGGUUCUUCGCGUUGCGUCGAAUUGAACCACAUGCUUCGCUGCUUGUGCGGGUCCCCGUCAAUUCCUUUGAGUUUUAGCCUUGCGGCCGUACUCCCCAGGCGGGGUGCUUAAUGCGUUAGCUUCGGCACGGAGGGAGUUGACACCCCCCACACCUAGCACCCAUCGUUUACGGCGUGGACUAC
Molecule: unclassified non-coding RNA, 379 nt
Filed under: uncultured Gaiellales bacterium
Lineage: Bacteria; Bacillati; Actinomycetota; Thermoleophilia; Gaiellales
Description: contains 16S-23S intergenic spacer region
Source: RNAcentral